GACGAACGCUGGCGGCGUGCCUAAUACAUGCAAGUCGAGCGAAGUUUUUCUGGUGCUUGCACUAGAAAAACUUAGCGGCGAACGGGUGAGUAACACGUAAAGAACCUGCCUCAUAGACUGGGACAACUAUUGGAAACGAUAGCUAAUACCGGAUAACAGUAUUUCUCGCAUGAGAGAUAUUUAAAAGUUGGUUAUGCUAACACUAUGAGAUGGCUUUGCGGUGCAUUAGCUAGUUGGUGGGGUAAAGGCCCACCAAGGCGACGAUGCAUAGCCGACCUGAGAGGGUGAUCGGCCACACUGGGACUGAGACACGGCCCAGACUCCUACGGGAGGCAGCAGUAGGGAAUCUUCCGCAAUGGGCGAAAGCCUGACGGAGCAACGCCGCGUGAGUGAAGAAGGAUUUCGGUUCGUAAAGCUCUGUUGUUAGGGAAGAAUGGAUAUGUAGUAACUAGACACGUAAGAGACGGUACCUAACCAGAAAGCCACGGCUAACUACGUG
Molecule: ribosomal RNA, 499 nt
Filed under: uncultured bacterium
Lineage: Bacteria
Description: partial 16S ribosomal RNA
Rfam family: Bacterial small subunit ribosomal RNA
Source: RNAcentral